CCUUCCCGCCAUUCUCAUCCCAGAUCUGUUUCCCUCGUUUCCCCCCUCAUCGGCUCUGAUUUUUGGUCUUCUGGCUGUGAUUGAUUAGGGAUUUUGCUCUAUCAUCACGUAAUAUUGGAGGCUUGUGAGAAAUUCCGGUCGCUAUGGCUAUUCUUUUGUUCUUGCCCGGUUACUGCUGUUUCUUUUUUCCGCGGAGAUACAAAUUCAGGGUUCUCACCGGAUGAUAUAGGCCUUCUGCUAUUGUAUUACAAGUCUGAAUGGAUUCUUAAUACAAGACGGAUGGGGAAUUUUUAUGGUAAAGCGAGGAGAAUACGAUCUCUCCGGUUUGGUCCAAACGUGAGUGAUUUUUGGCUGCUACGUUAUGUAAUUUCAUCCAAGGAAGGUUGAUUUGAUUAGUGUUGUCAUGGAUGUAUAAGAUAUCGGGCCGAACCGUCCCUAUAUUAUUAGGGAGGCGGUUUCUGAUCGAUCUUUGUCAUCCGACCUUUGCCAUGACAGGUGCGCUUGCAUGGCAGGUCAACUACGUUAAUGAAAAAAAAAAGAUUUUUGGGUUUUGAGGAGGGAUCGCACGGGGAUUGCCCGGGAUCCCUUCUCUAUGGUGUGUGCCGUUUCCUCUCUUUCUUUAUCUCUGUGCAUAUUAUGCGUUGCUGCCCACAAUUGCUUGCAUCCUCAGGGAUUGCUCGCUCGCUCGUUCGUUCUAGCCCAACCUGUGCUCGUUUCAAGAUUCCGAAAGGUAUUAACAAUUUCUUUCAUCUCAAAUGAAUUCGUAGGUGAACAUGUCACGAAGGUACAGUCAAAACAGCAGCGUCGGUAAGUAGAAUAAUCAAAUAUUAACUCUGACUAAUUUUCUAUAAUUUAGCCGGUAUAUAAUCGUGAUUCGUUAAUUAGCAUCUUCCCGUUAGUAUUCAUGCGCCUUUAUGGUGUAGUUCCAUCUGAUUUUUUGUAAUUUUGUUGAGGUUUGUUAUGCUCAGGUUAAUAGCAACUAUAUCUUUAAGGCCCGUCUCAAAACCAACUUCUCUCACAGUUAUUCAGUCGCAUGCUAAUUUUUAGUCAAACUCCAAAAACAAAAUCUUGGUUCUUUUUUUUUUUUUUUUUUUUUUUGGUGUUUAUUUUCAAAAUUUGGCUUGGAUUUUGGAGCUCUUAAAAUUCGGACAACAAAAUAAUGUGAACAAAGAAGCCACAAGCGUUUAAUAUCUUAAUUUUCAAUAAUUGAGAAUAACUACCAAAUACUUAUCAAAUGGAGCCCGAUACUAGUUUUGUAGAGGUUCUGUUUGAAAUUGGCUAAACGAGUAACCCAUCUGUUUAAAAUUGAUUAAACGGGUAUUUCAUAGCGUUAGUUGGUCUUUGCGUUCAAAUUCUUCGCGUGAUCAUGAAGAUAGAAUAUUAUUAAUUUCUCUGCAAUUCAACUUCUGCUGAUCUUGCACAGAAGGGAUGUAUAUAUUUUCCAUUUUAACCCAAGAAUGAGUGCGUUGGGUUUGUGAAGGUUGAUUUGUUGAAUUUUUUUUUUUCGUAUACUUGGUACCAUCUGUAAGUCUAAGCUUGAAUAUAUCAUGGUCUGCAUUUUGUUAUCACUAUAAUGUAAACCACAUAGAAAUUGAAACACGGAUGAAGAGCCUGUUCUGGACUGGGCCAAGGAUCGCAAAGCUUGUUUGAUCUUCGUCAUUGCUGAGCUGCUGGAUCUGCAGAUUUCCGUUAGUGUUCUGAAAUGUCAAGUGGAAUUGUUCUGUCUUGGUAACAUAGUUUUUUAGCUUGUCAUUUAAUUAAGCGCAAAAACUCAUGCUGUGUUCAUUUAUCUCUUUAAUUUCUGUUCUCUGUUCUCUUUUCACCUUGUUUUAUUUUGGCUUCACUUUUUAUAAGAUAAAAGUAAAUGUUGUAUCUUAUCUGGUGUGUUCUGUUUUGUUACAUCGGUACUGAAUUCUUGUAGUGGUAGUUCUGUUUUUCUUUAAUGUUCUUUUGGAAAACAUCAUAUGAUAGCCGACACUGGCAUGUAUAAGCGUUGGGAAAACAUAAUAUGAUGGUCGUUUGUUUUUAGAUUGUUGUAUGUAAUAAACCUUCUUUUUGGAAGAUUUUGUUGCCAAAUGAGUUUUUUUUUUGUUCUGCCGAAUUGAUAUUGUAGUAACUUGGUAGUUAAGAACAACAGGAGAAUACUCAACUGUCUGAUUAAGAUUCAGCAGUAUAUAAGAUAGCGUCACCUCCUUUUCUAAAUAGCCUUACAGACUACUGUUGGGAUGUGGGACGAAAUAUUGUUUCAUUCCUGUACCCACAAUUUGCGAAUUAUAGUUUCAUUCGUGUUCCCACAAUUUGCUUUACAAUUUAUAAUAUUCGUUUUACAGGAAGGUCUCGUGGUUGAAACUUUUUAUGAUGUUAAUGGUGUGAACCCGCUAUUAAGUGGGGAUGUCUAUGAAGAACUGCAAAAUGUGAGCCGGGUCUGUCAUUUUCCCAUAUAUGUUUGCUUUGUUUUUCGAGUCACAUAUGAACCUUUACCAGUGUGUGUGCUGAUGAUGAUUUUUUUAGAAGUUUCAUUGUAAAUGUUUUUGGAUUCAGCCAAUUUAGCAUUUAUUUGGUCUGUCUUGGUUAGGUACUUUGGAUUAAUUAAAUUAAAUUGAACGGUUGAUCGGAGUUGAUGUUUAGACUCAAUUUGGAUUAGGGAAUCUGAAUUUAGUCUCAAAUUAAUAAUUUUGAGAACAUGGUAUUUCUUGGACUGUAUAAGAAGCUUGAUAGAGCGGAAAUUUACCUUCACUAGUGGGAGAUAAUCUUCAAUCCUCUUGGAAGCAUAUAUUCUUGUUAAGAGAUGAUUUUGGAUAUCGUACCCAACUCUCAAGGCUGUUGUAAAAGUUGAUGGAUGUUCUAGGAUAUGAAGAUUAGCGAAAGGUUGGCUUUCUAAUCUCUAUAGUAUAUACAAUUUAGCCAAAUUCUUUCGUACGUUAAAAAUUUUUCUUGCCCAACCCACCCUUUGAUAUUGAGUUUAACUUGCGAGUGUUCAGCUGUGUUUGAAUAAUAGUUGGAGGUUAUGUUCAAUUCUACUAGAGAAUUCGUUAUCAUUAGGUUAGAGAUUCUAUUUGUCGGAGAUUUUUUAUUCGAUUCAAAAUAUGAGCUUUGCAAAAAAUAGCGAGAGAAUUAUCCAUAAUUUUUUAAGCUGCUAUUAUUAUUUAGUGAAAGAUGAUCCUGCAUUGUUUAAAAAACUCAAACAUAGCACUUCAUAUGUGUAAUUUAAGGUCCUGAGAUUAGUAGGAGAUGAUCUUCCACUCUUUUGGAAUCACAUAUUGUAGUUAAGAUGUCGUACCUUGCUCCUAAGGCUGUUGUGGAAGUGGAUGAAUGUUCCCAGGUUUGAUUAAAUACUUUUCUUGCCUAAUCAUUUACACAUAAUGUGGGAGUGUUCUGUUGUGUUUGAAGAUUAGUGGGAGGCUCUACUCAAUUUUAGCAAAUUCGUUAUUAUUUGGUGAAAGACGAUUCAACCAGAUUUAAAAAACAUGAACCUAGUAAAUUAUCAUGGAUUGGUCUAAGUGGUAAAAAGGAGUCAGUUUUAAGGAAUCAUGAUGAUUAGUUAUCGACCUAGUGGUAAGGAGGAGUUGUUUCACUAAGAAGUCCUUUGGAUGAAGGUUUUGUUGAAGAAUAGAGGAUAUUUAAGAAUAGGAUGUCCAAGAAUCAAAGAUUAUGUUUGUUAUCUAUGGGAAUAGAAUGUUUGGGGUGUGUGAUAUUAUACUUUUUAUCUAAUUAUAGAGUAUAAAAGUAAUGAGAAUUAAUUGAUCAAUCUUAAGUUUUUAAAAUUUAACUAAAUUUAUCUAUUCACUCAUCCUUCAUUAUAAUAUAUUUAUUAUCAAUUGAAUUUUUAAUAUUAGUAAUUUUAAUAUAUAUAUAUAUAUUAUAGUUUUUUGAUGGGUUAAAUUAAUUUUUUUAAUGUCAAUUAUAAGUUUUAUAUAUACAAAUAAAAAGUCGAUAUAAAUUAAUUGAUUAUGGGUUAAAAUUAGAACAUGUGAACAUUGAAAUUAUUUAUUUAUUUUAUUAUAAGUUAAUUAAUAUUUUUAUUGAUCAAUCAACAAUUUUAAUCAACAAUUUAUGAUGUUAAUAUAUAUUACCAAUAAAAAGGAUUUAAGCAAAUAUAGUUAUGGUCAGAAGAUUGGAUUAAUUCAUAACAAUAGAAUAAAUUAUUACAUUAGCAUUAUUAUCAAUAAAAUUAAUUAUAUAACAUCAAUUAUUAAUAAAAAAAAAUAAAUUAACUAAUAUCGAUAGAGAAGGAAAUCAAACCACAGUAAAAGAAAAAGUGGAAUCAUCGAAAAUGAGAAAAUACAUCUAUUUAGGUGGUUAUGAAGAUCGAGAAUAUGAAAUACUUUAGAAAAUGAUAUUUCUAUUUCUAAGGUUAAAAAUAUGUGUCAAAUAUAGUGAUAGAAUAUCAUUUUUACUUGAGUCAAAUGGGCCAAAAGGCAUCUUAAGAGUGGAUGAAUGUUCUAGUGUAACGGGGUGUAUAUACAAUUUUGCUAAAUUCCUUCAUGGAUUAAAGACUUUCUAGCCUAACCCUUUAUUUAAUAUUGAGUUUAAUGUAUGGGUGUUCAGUUUUGUUGUGUCUGGAACGUAGUGGAUGUCAUAUUCAAAUCUACCCGAGAAUUUAUUAUCCUUUUGGUAAAAGAUAUUCUAUGACACAACAUUUGGGAUUGAUUUGUAAUAAUACGAGUGUUGUAAUGUUUGAAGAUUAGCGGAAGAUGAUUUCCAAUUAUCUUUUGUGAAGUUCCUAUGGGAUGAAUGUCGACUCUUGGAUGUCAACUUAUUGUGUAUUUGUUCUACUAUUCGUGGAUUUGUGGAACAUAUUAUUCUAUUCUACAAGAGAGUUUAUAUCUUGUGGUAAGGGUUGAUGGGUUGGAGAUUAGUGGGAAAUGAUCUUUACUUCUCUUAGAAGCACUUGAAAAGAGAUGAUUUUGUCUUGUAAUAAAGAUUUCUUACCCAACCCUUAACAGUAUUCUAAGAGAAAGCUAUCAUUCAAUUCUCUAUGGUAUAUGUUCGAUAUUGCCAAAUUCCUUCAUACAUAAAAUAUUUUUCUAGCCCAACCCUUAAUAUUGAGUUCAAUGUGUGUGUUCGGUAGUGUUUGAAGAAUAGUGGGGGUUAUAUUGAAUUCCACUAGAGAACUCAUUAUCAUUUGGUAAGAGAUGUUUUUAUUUGUUUAAUAUUUCUAACUCAAAUACUUGGAUUUGAUUCAUAACAUACUAGCAUUGAAGUGUUUGGAGAUCAGCGGGAGAUGAAUUUCAACAAUUCUGUAGGAAACUGAUCAUAUCAUUUGGUGAAAGACAAUCCAAGGUUUCGAUAACUUUUAACUCAACCAUGAGUUUUCUAGGAUUUGAAGAUCAACGGGAGAUUAUUUUCCAAUUCCUAUGGAGUUUAUUGAAUUUUGUCAAACUCUCGGGGUGUUCUACUGUUUGAGGAUUAUUGGAAGAUAUUAUUCAAUUCCUGAAGGCAGUUUAUAUCAUAUGGCUUGGAGAUCAGUGGGAGACAAUCUUCAAUUCUCUUGGAAGCACAUACCAUUGAUAAGGGAUGCUUAUUUUGAGAGCGGAUGAAUGUUCGAGGGUUUGAAGAAUAGUGUAAGUUGGUUCUGAGAUCUCCAUGGAGUAUAUACGAUUUUGUCAAAUUCCUUCAUAUACCUAACGCUUUAAUAUUGAGGUUAUUUCAAUUUCACUAGAGAAUUCAUUAUCUUAUUUAAGAUUUCUCAUUUAGUA
Molecule: long non-coding RNA, 5699 nt
Organism: Benincasa hispida (wax gourd)
Lineage: Eukaryota; Viridiplantae; Streptophyta; Magnoliopsida; Cucurbitales; Cucurbitaceae
Source: RefSeq, a predicted model, not a curated record